Molecule: ribosomal RNA, 476 nt
Filed under: uncultured organism
Description: partial 16S ribosomal RNA
Rfam family: Bacterial small subunit ribosomal RNA
Source: RNAcentral
CACUCCUGCGGGAGGCAGCAGUGGGGAAUUUUGGACAAUGGGCGAAAGCCUGAUCCAGCAAUGCCGCGUGCAGGAUGAAGGCCUUCGGGUUGUAAACUGCUUUUGUACGGAACGAAAAAGCUCCUUCUAAUACAGGGGGCCCAUGACGGUACCGUAAGAAUAAGCACCGGCUAACUACGUGCCAGCAGCCGCGGUAAUACGUAGGGUGCGAGCGUUAAUCGGAAUUACUGGGCGUAAAGCGUGCGCAGGCGGUUAUGUAAGACAGAUGUGAAAUCCCCGGGCUCAACCUGGGAACUGCAUUUGUGACUGCAUGGCUAGAGUACGGUAGAGGGGGAUGGAAUUCCGCGUGUAGCAGUGAAAUGCGUAGAUAUGCGGAGGAACACCGAUGGCGAAGGCAAUCCCCUGGACCUGUACUGACGCUCAUGCACGAAAGCGUGGGGAGCAAACAGGAUUAGAAACCCGGGUAGUCCCAUGAU